CUCUUUUGGUGUCUUCUGGUGAGCUCAGCCGAAGGCCUGCCCUUCCUGGAUAAGCCUCUUGCACGCAGGCUGGUCCUUCCACCUCCCAGAGGGCCAAAGUUGAAGAACACAAAGGAAGGCAGUGAGGAUGGUCCAAGGCAGGGAAGAGUUUCUACAAGGGAAUACCGAUCGGUCUAAUGCUUGGAAAAAGGUUAACGAGGAAGGCUACAAACAAUGGAUGGUGUUGAAGAGGUGACGAGGCACUCAAGGCUUUCAGAUUAUUUACUGCUGAAUCUGUUGCAGAAUGUCAAUGCCCUGGGCAUAGCAAGGCCUGUUCCUCCACGCACUGGAUGAUGUGAAGGCAGCACUGAAGGGAGACCUAUUGCAGAGGUCUUUUUAUAAGAAUGUUUGGCAUCUGCUAGCACAGGUUUUGAGGAA
Long non-coding RNA from Lagopus muta (rock ptarmigan), 417 nucleotides. RefSeq lists it as uncharacterized. The transcript is spliced from 3 exons. The record is from RefSeq and is a predicted model, not a curated record. NCBI's taxonomy places the organism in Eukaryota, Metazoa, Chordata, Aves, Galliformes, Phasianidae.